GGCGGACGGGUGAGUAAUGCUUGGGAACUUGCCUUUGCGAGGGGGAUAACAGUUGGAAACGACUGCUAAUACCGCAUAAUGUCUUCGGACCAAACGGGGCUUAGGCUCCGGCGCAAAGAGAGGCCCAAGUGAGAUUAGCUAGUUGGUAGGGUAACGGCUUACCAAGGCGACGAUCUCUAGCUGUUCUGAGAGGAAGAUCAGCCACACUGGGACUGAGACACGGCCCAGACUCCUACGGGAGGCAGCAGUGGGGAAUAUUGCACAAUGGGGGAAACCCUGAUGCAGCCAUGCCGCGUGUGUGAAGAAGGCCUUCGGGUUGUAAAGCACUUUCAGUUGUGAGGAAAAGUUAGUAGUUAAUACCUGCUAGCCGUGACGUUAACAACAGAAGAAGCACCGGCUAACUCCGUGCCAGCAGCCGCGGUAAUACGGAGGGUGCGAGCGCUAAUCGGAAUUACUGGGCGUAAAGCGCAC
RNAcentral lists this ribosomal RNA (471 nucleotides) under uncultured Alteromonas sp. RNAcentral describes it as "bacterial SSU rRNA". It matches the Rfam family "Bacterial small subunit ribosomal RNA", at positions 97 to 570 of the family's 1533-position model. The record is from RNAcentral. Lineage: Bacteria; Pseudomonadati; Pseudomonadota; Gammaproteobacteria; Alteromonadales; Alteromonadaceae.